RNAcentral lists this unclassified non-coding RNA (208 nucleotides) under Hevea brasiliensis (rubber tree). The record is from RNAcentral. Lineage: Eukaryota; Viridiplantae; Streptophyta; Magnoliopsida; Malpighiales; Euphorbiaceae.
GUGAAUUUGACUUAUGUAGCCCACAUAGAUGACAAACUGCACCAGCAUGUGAGAGACAACAGCUUGGACUGUCCAUAAACCACUAAACAACUUGUUCCCCAAACCAGCCCACCCAUAAAAACACAAGUGAACAAAAAUGCAAAGAAAUGACACUGGAUGCAUUUACCACCAAACUACUACUCUUGGGAGGCCAAGGAAAGUUCCUAGC